RNAcentral lists this unclassified non-coding RNA (256 nucleotides) under Nemania serpens. Its description in RNAcentral is "partial internal transcribed spacer region". The stretch from base 1 to 46 matches the Rfam family "Eukaryotic small subunit ribosomal RNA", at positions 1786 to 1831 of the family's 1831-position model. The record is from RNAcentral. Lineage: Eukaryota; Fungi; Ascomycota; Sordariomycetes; Xylariales; Xylariaceae. RNAcentral also lists the same sequence under 1 other name.
AAGUCGUAACAAGGUCUCCGUUGGUGAACCAGCGGAGGGAUCAUUACUGAGUUUUGAAAAAGACUCCCAAACCCUGUGAACCUACCUAUUGUUGCCUCGGUAGGUGGCCUCGUUGCGCUGUAGGAAUAAAUCCCUAUAGUACAGUGGGUGCACCCUGCCGAAGGCCCCUAUAAACUCUUUGUAUUUUGAACAUUGGAUCUUCUGAAGUGGAAAAAAAAAAUAGUUAAAACUUUCAACAACGGAUCUCUUGGCUCUG